GUGCCUGAACAUCGAUAUUUAUGGCUAAAUUUUCGGUCUUCGGAACCGAGGGUCGCUGGUUCGAAUCCUGCCGGGCACGCCA
This 82-nucleotide transfer RNA is filed under the name Dehalococcoidia bacterium. RNAcentral describes it as "tRNA-Arg". The record is from RNAcentral. Lineage: Bacteria; Bacillati; Chloroflexota; Dehalococcoidia. RNAcentral also lists the same sequence under 1 other name.